ACAUUUCCACGUGGAUGCAUGAAUAUCAGUCAGACGAUAAACUAUGAAUUUGCUGAAACGACGAAUGCAAACGCGAAGUCACGUGCUCAUUAAAUAAACCGACUCGUAAUGUAUAAAAAAAUAAAAAAUGUGCCACGUAGUAUAAUUGGUCGACUGGGAGGCGAAACUUACAAAUUCAGAUAUUCCACGGUCAAUAUUUUCGAACGAAGAGAGACACCGAGAGGUUUGGUCGAAAGUUCUACGAAGCACAUCUGCGAGAUAGGAGAUUGGCAAAAAUGUUGGACCAGACCGUCGAGGGCCAGGGCUAUAUAAGGUCCUGGGCAGGAUAUUACCUUCGAAAUCUAAUUAUGAGAUUUUUAUAGGGCUAUCGUAAAACGGCCGAAUAAUAGUUCGCGGUUGCUUGAGGGGGAGGGACCGGCGCAAUCUUCCGCAAGGAUAAUGGGGAAUAGCAAAAAGAAACACUGACUCUCCACGGAGGACUCCAGUUCUAACGCCGGCUCCUAAUCAAACGGACUCUGCCCGCCCGUAAUUGGACUCUGCUCGCGGGAAUGUUAAUUAGAGAACCAAGGUGCCACAAUCGUGAAUCAUCGUACCGACAAUAAUGUCAAAACGAUCAAAAAUGUCAAAAAUGCGAGAUCCGAAAUAAACGAAAGUCAUACUGGCCGA
Molecule: long non-coding RNA, 666 nt
Organism: Ceratina calcarata
Lineage: Eukaryota; Metazoa; Arthropoda; Insecta; Hymenoptera; Apidae
Exons: 2
Source: RefSeq, a predicted model, not a curated record